AAGCAAUUAUACAGCGAAACUGCGAAUGGCUCAUUAAAUCAGUUAUCGUUUAUUUGAUAGUACCUUACUACUUGGAUAACCGUGGUAAUUCUAGAGCUAAUACAUGCUAAAAACCCCGACUCACGAAGGGGUGUAUUUAUUAGAUUAAAAACCAAUGCCCUUCGGGGCUCUUUGGUGAUUCAUAAUAACUUUUCGAAUCGCAUGGCCUUGCGCCGGCGAUGGUUCAUUCAAAUUUCUGCCCUAUCAACUUUCGAUGGCAGGGUCUUGGCCUGCCAUGGUUACAACGGGUAACGGAGGGUUAGGGCUCGACCCCGGAGAAGGAGCCUGAGAAACGGCUACUACAUCCAAGGAAGGCAGCAGGCGCGCAAAUUACCCAAUCCCGAUUCGGGGAGGUAGUGACAAUAAAUACUGAUACAGGGCUCUUUUGGGUCUUGUAAUUGGAAUGAGUACAAUUUAAAUCCCUUAACGAGGAACAAUUGGAGGGCAAGUCUGGUGCCAGCAGCCGCGGUAAUUCCAGCUCCAAUAGCGUAUAUUAAAGUUGUUGCAGUUAAAAAGCUCGUAGUUGAACCUUGGGCCUGGCUGGCCGGUCCGCCUCACCGCGUGCACUGGUUCGGCCGGGCCUUUCCCUCUGGGGAACCUCAUGGUCUUCACUGAUCGUGAUGGGGAACCAGGACUUUUACUGUGAAAAAAUUAGAGUGUUCAAAGCAGGCCUAUGCUCGAAUACAUUAGCAUGGAAUAAUAAAAUAGGACGUGUGGUUCUAUUUUGUUGGUUUCUAGGACCGCCGUAAUGAUUAAUAGGGACAGUCGGGGGCAUCAGUAUUCAAUUGUCAGAGGUGAAAUUCUUGGAUUUAUUGAAGACUAACUACUGCGAAAGCAUUUGCCAAGGAUGUUUUCAUUAAUCAGGAACGAAAGUUAGGGGAUCGAAGACGAUCAGAUACCGUCGUAGUCUUAACCAUAAACUAUGCCGACUAGGGAUCGGACGGUGUUACUUAUUGACCCGUUCGGCACCUUACGAGAAAUCAAAGUCUUUGG
This 1032-nucleotide ribosomal RNA is filed under the name Pestalotiopsis sp. CPC 10969. RNAcentral describes it as "SSU rRNA". It matches the Rfam family "Eukaryotic small subunit ribosomal RNA", at positions 67 to 1110 of the family's 1831-position model. The record is from RNAcentral. Lineage: Eukaryota; Fungi; Ascomycota; Sordariomycetes; Amphisphaeriales; Sporocadaceae.